GAUACACGAGGUAAGCAUAUCGCAAUCAAGCAUCACGGUGUACAUCGAUUACACGAGGUUUGAGUGUUUGUUUACAUUUGUGUUACAAAAUGGCGCCCUCGGCCAUACAGGGAAUUAUGGGUAGACGUGCUUGUCCCGGAAUAACACGAGUUGGUCAGGAAUGACGAGCGGUCAUUUCUGCAGCAGUUACGGAAAGAGACGAGGUUUGCCGAUUACAGUUUAUACAGGCCAUAUUGGGAGCCGCGGGGAUUUCGACAGUGUGUAUCAGGAAGUAUAUCUAUGUGGUGUAUGGAAUAUGCGUUUGCCUACCAUGCCAGGCAGUGUGACAAGGGAUAUCCCAGCGGAUGUAAUAUUCCUACAGCAGAAAUGUUUCACAACCUCGAUUGCAGGGAGCUGAAGACGUGACAUAUUCAGACAGAGACCAUAAUACAUAGACUGUUAUAUGGUCUCUGAUUCAGGUGUGAAGAAUCAAGAACAAAUUAAAUGACAGGAGUUUUGCAACAGUGAACAUUGUGAAGUGGAAGAUAAGACAUUUGAAAGGUACCUGGAUUUCACAAUCUGACACCAGCUACAUUUAAGAAGAUCUUGAUCACACAAUUCAGACAAGGGACUCGCCGGGUGAUGAAUAAUCCUCCCGAUAUCAACCAACAGAUUCACCUCAAAAAGUGAUGAUUCUUAAUGAAUAAUGCCACAUCAGUGCGACUGUAGGUGGUUAAAUUAUGACACUUAUCAAGUCUGAAUGAAUUUAUGCCUAAGCACUGUGACUAUGUCCAGGUUGUGUACACCGACGCUGACUAUACUUUUGUGGUUUACUGCAGCAACAUAAUUGACUUUAGAUAUUUUUCUUUCAUGAAAUUCUUUGAGAUUUGACUAAUUUGUUUAUUUAGAAAAUGGCAUUGAAGCGUCUGUUCUGUAAGGCCUUGCAAACACCACUGGUUACUUUAUGCUAGUUCCUCUUCUUGCUUGAUCACAUUUCAAUUUGUGAUAUUUACCAAUGAAAUGCCAUAUAAUCAAUAAACAAGAUUUCUUUUCUCCAAAAACAUUAUUUGUUUUGCCUCAUUAGCAUAAAGAAAUAUAAUACUGAUCAGCCAUAACAUAAGUGCUGAACAAAUAUAAAAUAUAUUAUGCCCUGAAUGUUUUUCACUAUAAAUACAGCUCACUUAACAAAAGUUGUAGGUCCACAUUUGUAGACAAAUGACAUUGAUAUUUUUUUUGGUACUUUAUUUAGGUGUUUUCUAUGAAUGUCAUUAGUCUUAUGCGCCAAUUUGGGACAACUGUAUUCUGUUUCAUGUUCCCAUGAAACUACACUGUCCAGAUAUAACAAGUACUAUUACCGUUCCAAACUAUUCUUUUAAUCUCACCAGGGCCAAAUGACAAAGCACAUAGCCAAUGACUUUCCAUUCUUUCUGAGUGAGAAUGCUGUUUUGCCACUUUUAGCAAUAUUGCAACAAUAUCAUGGUGGGGGACACAAGCAAUAAGCUUCACACAUUUGACUCAUGUCGCGAAACGAAAUUGUGAACAAUGUAUUCCCCCAGAUCUCAGUUUUAAGAGGAUAUUUACAAUUAAAAUAACACAGAAUAUAACAACAGCUAUCUGAUAUGCACUGGCUAAAAUUAAU
Molecule: long non-coding RNA, 1618 nt
Filed under: Haliotis rufescens (red abalone)
Lineage: Eukaryota; Metazoa; Mollusca; Gastropoda; Lepetellida; Haliotidae
Description: uncharacterized LOC125381033
Source: RNAcentral